AAGUUUUGAAGCAGGCUCUUGCUAUGUAUAAUCUUGUGAUUCUCUUGCUUCUGUCUCCCAGGUGCUGGGGAUGUAGGGUGAGCCACCUCUCCAGGCUUCUGUGCAGUCUCCCUGAGCAGACCCUUGAGAGAUGGCAUGUGAGCCACAGUGCUCUGGGGACACACGGGUUGCAUCUCCAGAGAUGUACAUUCACCUUGACAUCUGUUGAGCCCUCCCUGCCCAGUCUCUGGGCCUGGUACUCUUCCAGACUCCUCUCCAACCCUGUUUCCUGCCAUCAGCCUUGCUCCCACUCAGAUGACUGCUCUGACCACACUUGUUUGGUGACACGGCUGUGGUGUUGUAACGGCCUGCAGGGCGAGCCUGUGCGGAGGUCAAAGGAUAACUUCCGGGAGUUGAUUCUCUCCUUCCAAGUGUGGGUCCCGUGGAUGAAAGUCAGGUCAUCAGGCCUGGUGCCAAGUUUCUGUCCUCAUUGAGCCAUCCUACUGACCCUUUUAUUUUGUUUUUAAAACAAAGAAGAACAAAGGUUCAAAAAUC
Mus musculus (house mouse) is the source of this 534-nucleotide long non-coding RNA. RefSeq annotates it as predicted gene 45202. The transcript has 2 exons. NCBI's taxonomy places the organism in Eukaryota, Metazoa, Chordata, Mammalia, Rodentia, Muridae. The record is from RefSeq and is a predicted model, not a curated record.